AUUGAACGCUGGCGGCGUGCCUUACACAUGCAAGUCGAACGGCAGCACGGGAGCAAUCCUGGCGGCGAGUGGCGAACGGGUGAGUAAUGUAUCGGAACGUACCUUUCAGUGGGGGAUAACGUAGCGAAAGUUACGCUAAUACCGCAUAUUCUGUGAGCAGGAAAGCAGGGGAUCGCAAGACCUUGCGCUGAUUGAGCGGCCGAUAUCAGAUUAGCUAGUUGGUGAGGUAAAGGCUCACCAAGGCGACGAUCUGUAGCGGGUCUGAGAGGAUGAUCCGCCACACUGGAACUGAGACACGGUCCAGACUCCUACGGGAGGCAGCAGUGGGGAAUUUUGGACAAUGGGCGCAAGCCUGAUCCAGCCAUGCCGCGUGAGUGAAGAAGGCCUCGG
RNAcentral lists this ribosomal RNA (390 nucleotides) under uncultured bacterium. RNAcentral describes it as "bacterial SSU rRNA". It matches the Rfam family "Bacterial small subunit ribosomal RNA", at positions 30 to 420 of the family's 1533-position model. The record is from RNAcentral.